Bufo bufo (common toad) is the source of this 444-nucleotide long non-coding RNA. RefSeq lists it as uncharacterized. The transcript is spliced from 2 exons. Lineage: Eukaryota; Metazoa; Chordata; Amphibia; Anura; Bufonidae. The record is from RefSeq and is a predicted model, not a curated record.
UGCAUUCUGUAUUCAGAAUGCUAUUAUUUUCCCUUCUAAACGUAUCAAACUGGUAAGAAUAUAGCUUGAGUGUUUGAGAUCAGAGAUGAGGCUUCACAUGAGCAGUCGGCUGAUGGGUCUGAGAAGUGAUACUCUGGAAAUAGACUGCUUUUUAACCCCUGUACCUCAAAAACAGCUGAAAAUUUUUAAUAAAAUGCAGUCAUACAAAAAUUGCCCCGAAGGUUUCUAUAGCCUUUAUAGGUUACACUCCGUACUCUUGGGUAGGGUCAGAUAGAGCACAAGAUUUUUUUUUUAAGGUGCCCCAAAUAGUUAAUGUAUUUGUCCUAUCUACAAAUUAACAAUUAAAGUGUUAUCGUUAAAAAAAAAAAAAAACUGCCAAAAAGUUUCUGUUUACAUUGUUAAAGGGACGCGCCACCUUUUAUUUGUGUCUAUAAUCAAUAAAUA